UCUUCUGCAUCGUGUGUGUGUCUGCGUGUGUCUGCGUGUGUCUGCGUGUGUCUGCGCAGAGUGACUUUUUCUUCAUUCAAACUGUUUAUUGAUUUAAGGUACAUUUGAAUUGUUUCGUACAGUCUCACAAGUCUUUUGGACAUUGUCUCUACAAAAGCAGCCUUCACAAGAUUCCCUGCUAUGACUCACAAGUUGUUGGUCUGUCUGCCAAUCAAUAUUUUAAUGUGCUGCAUGUAAAUAAGUUGCAAGGCAGGAAAAAUAAAGAAGACGUCCGACCAAAGUUACAGUAUAUUAGAGAACAACUAGUACGUGUGCGUCAGAUCAAACAAUGUUAGCAGUGAAGUAUUCCAGUAGUGACACGUGAAUUGUUAUUCAAGGUAAUAUCAUCAAAGCAAACCGCAAAGAAAUGUAUCAAUAAUCUGUGAGUGUUUGUGCAUGUGUGUGGGUUUCCUUUUGUGCUUUUAUCUUGUUAGAAACAGUUACAGACCUCUCCUUAUCUCUUGAAGGGACUUGUUGACAGGAAUGACUUGGCUUUAACGUUGUAAGGUAGGAAGUCAGUUUAGGUUAGGGCCCUGUGAGGACUUCCCCUACAGUACCAAAACCUGCCCCCCCGCCACAGAAGCAGAUCAUUGUAGCAGCGCCCCGUAAAUCCAAUAACACGUCCCGUAACGGGGGGGACUCUGAAAUCGUGGAGCUCCACCAGCAGCUGCAGGACCUGAAGCUGACUAUAGACGGACUGGAGAAGGAGAGAGACUUCUACUUCGGAAAGCUGAGAGACAUUGAGGUCCUCUGCCAGGACAGCGAAAGUGAAAACCCAAUCUUCAACAAAAUCAUGGAUGUGCUUUACAGUACAGAGGUAAACACAUUCAAAUCACAGGACACAAGAUUUA
Molecule: long non-coding RNA, 890 nt
Organism: Notothenia coriiceps (black rockcod)
Lineage: Eukaryota; Metazoa; Chordata; Actinopteri; Perciformes; Nototheniidae
Exons: 3
Source: RefSeq, a predicted model, not a curated record